GGGACACGUGGUAUCCUGUCUGAAUAUGGGGGGACCAUCCUCCAAGGCUAAAUACUCCUGACUGACCGAUAGUGAACCAGUACCGUGAGGGAAAGGCGAAAAGAACCCCGGCGAGGGGAGUGAAAAAGAACCUGAAACCGUGUACGUACAAGCAGUGGGAGCCUCUUAAUGGGGUGACUGCGUACCUUUUGUAUAAUGGGUCAGCGACUUAUAUUCUGUAGCAAGGUUAACCGAAUAGGGGAGCCGAAGGGAAACCGAGUCUUAACUGGGCGUUAAGUUGCAGGGUAUAGACCCGAAACCCGGUGAUCUAGCCAUGGGCAGGUUGAAGGUUGGGUAACACUAACUGGAGGACCGAACCGACUAAUGUUGAAAAAUUAGCGGAUGACUUGUGGCUGGGGGUGAAAGGCCAAUCAAACCGGGAGAUAGCUGGUUCUCCCCGAAAGCUAUUUAGGUAGCGCCUCGUGAAUUCAUCUCCGGGGGUAGAGCACUGUUUCGGCAAGGGGGUCAUCCCGACUUACCAACCCGAUGCAAACUGCGAAUACCGGAGAAUGUUAUCACGGGAGACACACGGCGGGUGCUAACGUCCGUCGUGAAGAGGGAAACAACCCAGACCGCCAGCUAAGGUCCCAAAGUCAUGGUUAAGUGGGAAACGAUGUGGGAAGGCCCAGACAGCCAGGAUGUUGGCUUAGAAGCAGCCAUCAUUUAAAGAAAGCGUAAUAGCUCACUGGUCGAGUCGGCCUGCGCGGAAGAUGUAACGGGGCUAAACCAUGCACCGAAGCUGCGGCAGCGACACUAUGUGUUGUUGGGUAGGGGAGCGUUCUGUAAGCCUGUGAAGGUGGCCUGUGAGGGUUGCUGGAGGUAUCAGAAGUGCGAAUGCUGACAUAAGUAACGAUAAAGCGGGUGAAAAGCCCGCUCGCCGGAAGACCAAGGGUUCCUGUCCAACGUUAAUCGGGGCAGGGUGAGUCGACCCCUAAGGCGAGGCCGAAAGGCGUAGUCGAUGGGAAACAGGUUAAUAUUCCUGUACUUGGUGUUACUGCGAAGGGGGGACGGAGAAGGCUAUGUUGGCCGGGCGACGGUUGUCCCGGUUUAAGCGUGUAGGCUGGUUUUCCAGGCAAAUCCGGAAAACCAAGGCUGAGGCGUGAUGACGAGGCACUACGGUGCUGAAGC
RNAcentral lists this ribosomal RNA (1167 nucleotides) under Escherichia coli. RNAcentral describes it as "partial 23S ribosomal RNA". It matches the Rfam family "Bacterial large subunit ribosomal RNA", at positions 419 to 1591 of the family's 2925-position model. The record is from RNAcentral. Lineage: Bacteria; Pseudomonadati; Pseudomonadota; Gammaproteobacteria; Enterobacterales; Enterobacteriaceae.